This 1724-nucleotide ribosomal RNA is filed under the name Proteus mirabilis. Its description in RNAcentral is "partial 23S ribosomal RNA". It matches the Rfam family "Bacterial large subunit ribosomal RNA", at positions 1223 to 2925 of the family's 2925-position model. Lineage: Bacteria; Pseudomonadati; Pseudomonadota; Gammaproteobacteria; Enterobacterales; Morganellaceae. The record is from RNAcentral.
GUUGGGUAGGGGAGCGUUCUGUAAGCCUGCGAAGGUGUACUGUGAGGUAUGCUGGAGGUAUCAGAAGUGCGAAUGCUGACAUAAGUAACGAUAAUGCGGGUGAAAAACCCGCACGCCGGAAGACCAAGGGUUCCUGUCCAACGUUAAUCGGGGCAGGGUGAGUCGACCCCUAAGGCGAGGCUGAAAAGCGUAGUCGAUGGGAAACGGGUUAAUAUUCCCGUACUGGUGGUAACUGCGAUGGGGGAACGGAGAAGGCUAGGUUGUCCGGGCGACGGUCGUCCCGGUUCAAGCAGGUAGGCAGAGUGAUUAGGCAAAUCCGGUCACUUAAUGCUGAGAUGUGAUGACGAACCACCAAGGUGGUGAAGCAAUUGAUGCCCCGCUUCCAGGAAAAGCCUCUAAGCUUCAGGUUACCAACAAUCGUACCCCAAACCGACACAGGUGGUCAGGUAGAGAAUACUCAGGCGCUUGAGAGAACUCGGGUGAAGGAACUAGGCAAAAUGGUGCCGUAACUUCGGGAGAAGGCACGCUGGCGGUAGGUAAAGUCCCUCGCGGACGGAGCUGAAGCCAGUCGAAGAUACCAGCUGGCUGCAACUGUUUAUUAAAAACACAGCACUGUGCAAACACGAAAGUGGACGUAUACGGUGUGACGCCUGCCCGGUGCUGGAAGGUUAAUUGAUGGGGUUAGCCGUAAGGCGAAGCUCCUGAUCGAAGCCCCAGUAAACGGCGGCCGUAACUAUAACGGUCCUAAGGUAGCGAAAUUCCUUGUCGGGUAAGUUCCGACCUGCACGAAUGGCGUAAUGAUGGCCAGGCUGUCUCCACCCGAGACUCAGUGAAAUUGAACUCGCUGUGAAGAUGCAGUGUACCCGCGGCAAGACGGAAAGACCCCGUGAACCUUUACUAUAGCUUGACACUGAACAUUGAGCCUUGAUGUGUAGGAUAGGUGGGAGGCUUUGAAGUGUGGACGCCAGUCUGCAUGGAGCCAACCUUGAAAUACCACCCUUUAACGUUUGAUGUUCUAACCUAGGCCCAUAAACUGGGUCGGGGACCGUGUCUGGUGGGUAGUUUGACUGGGGCGGUCUCCUCCUAAAGAGUAACGGAGGAGCACGAAGGUUGGCUAAGCAUGGUCGGACAUCAUGCGGUUAGUGCAAAGGCAUAAGCCAGCUUGACUGCGAGAGUGACGGCUCGAGCAGGUACGAAAGUAGGUCUUAGUGAUCCGGUGGUUCUGAAUGGAAGGGCCAUCGCUCAACGGAUAAAAGGUACUCCGGGGAUAACAGGCUGAUACCGCCCAAGAGUUCAUAUCGACGGCGGUGUUUGGCACCUCGAUGUCGGCUCAUCACAUCCUGGGGCUGAAGUAGGUCCCAAGGGUAUGGCUGUUCGCCAUUUAAAGUGGUACGCGAGCUGGGUUUAGAACGUCGUGAGACAGUUCGGUCCCUAUCUGCCGUGGGCGUUGGAAGAUUGAGAGGGGUUGCUCCUAGUACGAGAGGACCGGAGUGAACGCACCACUGGUGUUCGGGUUGUCAUGCCAAUGGCAUUGCCCGGUAGCUAAGUGCGGAAGAGAUAACCGCUGAAAGCAUCUAAGCGGGAAACUUGCCUCGAGAUGAGUCUUCCCUGUCGCUUUAAGCGACCUAAAGGAACGUUUAAGACUAAGACGUUGAUAGGCUGGGUGUGUAAGCGUAGCGAUACGUUGAGCUAACCAGUACUAAUGAACCGUGAGGCUUAACCUG